This 257-nucleotide ribosomal RNA is filed under the name uncultured Atopobium sp. Its description in RNAcentral is "partial 16S ribosomal RNA". It matches the Rfam family "Bacterial small subunit ribosomal RNA", at positions 99 to 354 of the family's 1533-position model. The record is from RNAcentral. Lineage: Bacteria; Bacillati; Actinomycetota; Coriobacteriia; Coriobacteriales; Atopobiaceae.
CGAACGGCUGAGUAACACGUGGGCAACCUGCCCUUUGCACUGGGAUAGCCUCGGGAAACCGAGGUUAAUACCGGAUACUCCAUAUCCAUCGCAUGAUAGAUAUGGGAAAGCUCCGGCGGCAAAGGAUGGGCCCGCGGCCUGUUAGCUAGUUGGUGGGGUAGUGGCCUACCAAGGCAAUGAUGGGUAGCCGGGUUGAGAGACCGACCGGCCAGAUUGGGACUGAGACACGGCCCAGACUCCUACGGGAGGCAGCAGAC